UAACUGGAGGAGCUGUGACACCUUUUUGAUCCUUCAUUGACAGCUUUACAUUUCAUUGUGAAGCAGAAUCCACCUAGCUUUGGAUUGUUCACCCACUAACUGGGAACUUGAGCUUUGUGUGGAGCAUCAUGAGACAGGUU
This 140-nucleotide non-coding RNA is filed under the name Lepisosteus oculatus (spotted gar). RNAcentral describes it as "Eukaryotic large subunit ribosomal RNA". It matches the Rfam family "Eukaryotic large subunit ribosomal RNA", at positions 2831 to 2984 of the family's 3401-position model. The record is from Rfam by way of RNAcentral. Lineage: Eukaryota; Metazoa; Chordata; Actinopteri; Semionotiformes; Lepisosteidae.